Molecule: small nucleolar RNA, 110 nt
Filed under: Nelumbo nucifera (sacred lotus)
Lineage: Eukaryota; Viridiplantae; Streptophyta; Magnoliopsida; Proteales; Nelumbonaceae
Description: Small nucleolar RNA Z103
Rfam family: Small nucleolar RNA Z103
About the family: This family consists of several snoRNA Z103 sequences which are members of the C/D class of snoRNA which contain the C (UGAUGA) and D (CUGA) box motifs. This family seems to be found exclusively in plants.
Source: Rfam by way of RNAcentral
UUAGAAAUGAGGAGACUUUCCCCAUAUGAUCGACGUUGAUUCGAACUGUGCUUCUUCAUUCUUCUCCACUAUUUCAUAGCGGAGAUUUAAAAGCCAGAUCUCUGAUCUUU